Molecule: ribosomal RNA, 517 nt
Filed under: uncultured bacterium
Lineage: Bacteria
Description: bacterial SSU rRNA
Rfam family: Bacterial small subunit ribosomal RNA
Source: RNAcentral
AGUGAACGCUGGCGGCGUGCUUAACACAUGCAAGUCGAGCGAGGUUACUGUCCCCGCAAGGGGACGUGUGCCUAGCGGCAGACGGGUGAGUAACACGUAGAUAACUUACCUCAUAGCGGGGGAUAGCCCGCCGAAAGGCGGGGUAAUACCGCGUAACGUUUCUUUCCGGCAUCGGAGAGAAAUCAAACGUCCGCAAGGACGGCUAAGAGAGAGAUCUGCGGCCUAUCAGCUAGUUGGUGAGGUAACGGCUCACCAAGGCUACGACGGGUAUCCGACCUGAAAGGGUGACCGGACACACUGACACUGAGACACGGGUCAGACUCCUACGGGAGGCAGCAGUGAGGAAUCUUGGACAAUGGGGGAAACCCUGAUCCAGCGACGCCGCGUGAAGGAUGAAGGUCUUCGGAUUGUAAACUUCUUUUAUCUGGGAAUAAGAAACUCGUGGAAACACGGGGAGUGAAGGUACCAGAUGAAUAAGCCACGGCUAACUUCGUGCCAGCAGCCGCGGUAAUACGAA